Molecule: ribosomal RNA, 253 nt
Filed under: uncultured Bacteroidota bacterium
Lineage: Bacteria; Pseudomonadati; Bacteroidota
Description: uncultured Bacteroidetes bacterium partial 16S ribosomal RNA
Rfam family: Bacterial small subunit ribosomal RNA
Source: RNAcentral
UACGAAGGGUGCAAGCGUUAUCCGGAUUCAUUGGGUUUAAAGGGUGCGUAGGCGGGGUGGUAAGUCAGUGGUGAAAUCUUGCGGCUUAACCGUAAAAUUGCCAUUGAUACUGCCAUUCUUGAGUACGCUCGACGUAGGCGGAAUGUGUCGUGUAGCGGUGAAAUGCUUAGAUAUGACACAGAACACCGAUAGUGAAGACAGCUUACGAGGGCGAAACUGACGCUGAGGCACGAAAGCGUGGGGAUCGAACAGG